Molecule: ribosomal RNA, 256 nt
Filed under: uncultured bacterium
Lineage: Bacteria
Description: partial 16S ribosomal RNA
Rfam family: Bacterial small subunit ribosomal RNA
Source: RNAcentral
GUCCGCACCGUAAACGAUGAUUACUCGAUGUUUGCGAUAUACAGUAAGCGUCCAAGCGAAAGCGUUAAGUAAUCCACCUGGGGAGUACGCCGGCAACGGUGAAACUCAAAGGAAUUGACGGGGCCGCACAAGCGGAGGAGCAUGUGGUUUAAUUCGAUGAUACGCGAGGAACCUUACCAGGGCUUGAAAGUUAGUGACCGUCUCCGAAAAGAGAUUUUCCGCAAGGACACGAAACUAGGUGCUGCAUGGCUGUCGU